Molecule: non-coding RNA, 31 nt
Filed under: Mus musculus (house mouse)
Lineage: Eukaryota; Metazoa; Chordata; Mammalia; Rodentia; Muridae
Source: RNAcentral
UGGUGGAACUCUACAUCCAGGGGCCUCUUUU